RNAcentral lists this ribosomal RNA (492 nucleotides) under uncultured bacterium. RNAcentral's name for it is "partial 16S ribosomal RNA". It matches the Rfam family "Bacterial small subunit ribosomal RNA", at positions 30 to 507 of the family's 1533-position model. The record is from RNAcentral.
AUUGAACGCUGGCGGCAUGCUUUACACAUGCAAGUCGAACGGUAACAGGCCUUCGGGUGCUGACGAGUGGUGAACGGGUGAGUAAUGCAUCGGAACGUACCCAGAGGUGGGGGAUAACGCAGCGAAAGCUGUGCUAAUACCGCAUGUGAUCUGAGGAUGAAAGCGGGGGACCGAGCAGCAAUGUUUGGCCUCGCGCCUUUGGAGCGGCCGAUGUCGGAUUAGCUAGUUGGUGGGGUAAAGGCCUACCAAGGCGACGAUCCGUAGCUGGUCUGAGAGGACGACCAGCCACACUGGGACUGAGACACGGCCCAGACUCCUACGGGAGGCAGCAGUGGGGAAUUUUGGACAAUGGGCGCAAGCCUGAUCCAGCAAUGCCGCGUGCGGGAAGAAGGCCUUCGGGUUGUAAACCGCUUUUGGCAGGAACGAAACGGUGUCCGCUAAUACCGGGCGCUAAUGACGGUACCUGCAGAAUAAGCACCGGCUAACUACGUG